UACGUAGGGGGCGAGCGUUGUCCGAAGUUACUGGGCGUAAAGCGCGCGUAGGCGGCCGAUUAAGUCUGAGGUGAAAGGUUCAACGCUCAACGUGAACAGUGCCUUGGAUACUGGACGGCUUGAGUGUGGCAGAGGAGUAUGGAAUUCCUGGUGUAGCGGUGAAAUGCGUAGAUAUCAGGAGGAAUACCGAUGGCGAAGGCAGUACUCUGGGCUAACACUGACGCUGAGGUGCGAAAGCUAGGGGAGCGAACGGG
Molecule: ribosomal RNA, 254 nt
Filed under: uncultured bacterium
Lineage: Bacteria
Description: partial 16S ribosomal RNA
Rfam family: Bacterial small subunit ribosomal RNA
Source: RNAcentral